CGAAAUACUGACGAGAAAAGGACGACCUGCGUCAAGGCAUUUAAAAGCAAGGACAUCUUCUUUGAAAAGAAAUUAAAUUCAAAUCUAUUCCGAUUGUUUUACAUUACUCGUUUUUGUUCAAAGUACAAACUAAAAAAAGUACGAAUUGAAAACGUGUUCGCGGUAUCAGAAUUUUGAGGAUGCGCGCGCAUCGUAUAAACCCCUUGAAAUAAAUAAUUCUAACCCUCCUCGUGUUUUUUUUACAAUUGACAAAGAAGACAAAAAACGGUGUAAAAUUACAAAUAAACACUGGUUAUGGACUACUUGUAUAUGCUGCUGUUUUGUUUUUUCCCUCGAUAAUGUAGUUUACAAAGCCUUUUAAAGCAAUAUGAAAAAGGUUUUUUAUUGAUAUUUUCAGUCAUUAUAAUGUUUUCUUUUCAUGCAAUACUGAAAUAAUAUCUCACAAACACUUACGCCACAGAUUUGAUCCAUAUCAGUUUAUAAAUAUUUUGGCAAAACGGCGCCAAUCCGCAAGCAGCGUAAGUUACGUAAAUACGUCUUUUGUCUGUCUGAUAUACAAUUUACACCGCUUAAAGAUGUUGUGUGUGUGUGUUUGCGUGCGUGCGUGCGCGCGCGUGCAUGUUUGUGUGGAUAAGUUAUUUUUAUUCUAUAGCCGCUGGAAUCAACGACAAGGGCCAGAUUAUCUGCGCAUUUGAUGGUCCGAUCGUAGAGCCCUAAUCAGCAGCAAAUCAGAAUCUCCUCUCACCUGUUCUGUGGAUACGACAAUACUUCCAAGGCAAACAGAUAACGAAGAAUACCUACCAUUGCCAAGAUAUUAAAAUAAACGAACAAGUCAAAACCUGUUUGUGACAAGAGUUCAACCUGACACGAGACAAUGGAAGGACGUAGAAACAUCCUAUACAUUGCUGCGAUAAUUCUUCUAUGAAAAUAUUAUUUCUUAUUUCAUAGUUUUUGUGUAUUUUUAAGUCUUGAGUUUCUGUUUCUGCUGCUAAAUUAUGAAUAAACAUAUGAUAUCAGCAAUUUUACAUAAAAUUCAUGAAAAACAUGAACUUGGAGAAAUAGUAUACAUGUACUUUAAAAUUGCCACAUAAUAUUACAAUUUACAUACAUGUGUAUUUAUAAAUACCGAAAGAAAAGAUUCUUUAACAAAGAAAACAUAAAGUUCAAAUAUUUGUGUUUCAACAAAUAUGCAUUAAAAAUGUUACAAUGUUGAAUAAGUUUAUAGCCACAUGGUAAACUACGUUUACGUUUACAUUUUACUUUUUCAGUGAGCAUAGACUAUUCCAGAUCAGAAGAGCACUAUAGUUUGAGUUAUAAUUACUUUGAAUUGAUGGCCCAGUGCUUCGAGAAGUCCUGCUUUUGUAUUUGCAAAAAGGAGAGAUUGUGCUUAUGCGCCGAUAAGUCAGGAUCUCUAACUCUAUUUUGAUAUCUAUCUCUAAUCAGAGACAGGCAAGAAAAAUAGUUUGAUCAUUAUUUUCAAUUGUAAUGUCUUACAUGUUAAUGUAACGAUCACACCUCAAUGUAAACAAAUAUUUUCAUUAACCCGCCCGCUUACGUUUCCUUGGAAGUACUAGUAUUGUUAUGCAGGCAUAUAUAAACUUUUAAAAGUAGAUCUAAACAUUGUAGUAUUAUAUUAUUGUUCAUAAGUUCAUGAUGCAUAUGUGUGAAAAUAAUUUAUGUUGUUUCAGGAAAUAAUUAUGGUUCACCCUUCUGUUAUUGACGCUUUAAAAUCGGCGUAUUAUUUUAAUGAUGAUUGGGGGAUGAUGAAGAUGAUGAUGAUGAUGAUGAUUGUGUUGAUCUGUAUCGAUAAAAAAAUCUGGAAACAAAGUGAUUACCUGUAUUAUAUUUUAACUUCUAUGUUACAUUACCUAUUCACAGCUUGUCUUGUUUCGAUGCACUCCAUAUAAAAAAGAUUGACCCUCUUCUAAGAGCAAAUCCUGGUUGUGACCAACUUGAUUCUGGAAAAGUUAAAUUUUGGCUCUGGAGGAUGUUCAUAGACGGCUAAUCACUGCGAACCUAACUAUUGUUGCUGUAAGGCGUAUUGAUCAUUUUCCCCAUAGCCAAUUAUUUGAUAAAAUUAAUGUACCUGUGUCUUUGCAAUUCAAAGUAUAAAAUAAAUUCAACAAUAUUCACACUAUUCUGUUUUUUGAUCGGGUUAGUAAGUAUUUAAAGAAUGCAUGUAAGAGAUGGAGUUAGGGGUUUAAAUGUCAUACAGCAAUGUUACUAAGCAGAGACUUACAAUGAUUUGCCCCAUCAAUAUGCUUAACAUCUACUGUUUCUAGCAGUAUCAAUGUGUUUUAGUCAAGGCUCAAUGACUCUAGUUUAUGCUCAGUGGCAUAAAUUGAGACAAAGCGACCCCAUCAGAUGGGUGUGUCUUUAGUGUCAUUAUUAUGAACAGCUGUCUUUAAUUCUAUCCUUACAUAAUAACUUAGUAGUAAAUGUAAUCUAAAUAGUACAGUAUACUUGUACACUGUUACGUUUACGCUCAGGUAAUUGAACGGAGUCAAUGAGCGAAAACGAUAACAUAAUAAUAUCUAAAAUGAGGUUAAACCGUUGCCUUAUAAGUGGACUUAGAAUAUCUUGCAACCUAUCUAUUUCCUCUACCAUUUCACAUAUAACUUUGAAUUAUAAAUACUUAUAAAAUACGAUCAUCACCACUUUCAGACAAAAGAACAUUCCUCUGAUCUGACUUGUGACGAAAUCGUUCUCCCUUAAUAAUCUAAAAUUUCGGUUCACUUACUUGAAUACCCUCACUUAUUAUUUAAUAUACCUUUAAAGGUAUUGCUACUUCUAAAUGACCAUCCACUUUUCUUGUAGGUAAGAAGACAUACAUCAUUCUGUUAACAAAGUGACAAAGAUUUUUAGUUCAUUUCUUUGUACCAGCUCAUCCGCUUUCAAAUACCCGGUAGGUUAUUGACUUUUAACUUUGAAUAUUUGUCAGUCAUCAUCCAUACUUAUAGAAAGAAUACACGACACUGUCAAGAAAUGUGAUAAAAUGACAUCUUUCGUAUCAUUUUUUGUGCCAUUUUUUUUUUACUUCUUUACCAUUUCAUGUAAUGCUUUGACCCUCCAAAUUCUAGAUAAUUACCAUUAUUUGCACUUUCAUGUAAGAGCACUUGACUCUAUUAAGAAUCGUAACACAAUUAUGCCUUUUUGGAUAAAACUAUGGCACGGUUAAUUAAUUAAUCCCGCUGUUUUUCCUUAAACCUUUAAGGAAAUAUUCCAAAACUUUGAUCAUUUAUAAAAAAAACCCAUCAGCCGCUGUUCCAGGCAAAAGAUAUUUUAAUGUAAAACAUUAAACGGCGGCCGUUUUGUGUUUGUUUACAAUUUGACAUAUUAAACCUUAAAAAGGCGGAUGUUGUUUAAAACAAGUAAAAGUCUUAAUCCCUUAAAAACAACAGCACCUGUAAAACGGAUUGGAAGAUCAAUUUAUGAUCCAUUCCUAAUCUAUUACAUGUACAAUGUUUGAAACAAAACAUGAUAUUUCGACCUGAAACAAGUUCAUUUAAGAAUUUUCGCAGGCUGUGGGAAAAGGUACUGCGAAGAAAUGAGCAUAACAAGAGGUUGUUCUUUGUUUUUGUUCAGAUAUGCUCGAAGUAUGUUCUAAUACAAAGUUCUUAAUGGCAUGACCUUAAGGCUCAAUCACCCUAGACUAGGCCAUUUGAAUACACCGCCCAUUUGAACAAAAUAAAACGUCCAACCCUUUAAGACAGUGAUGUACACAGCCAAUAAUAACGAAGUAUCCUAUUACUGAAUAAGUAUCAGCAAUGUGAUAAAAGUGUAUUAAAAUAUGUAAAUGUUGAAUAUUUCUCGCUAAGUAUUGUAAUUAAUCAUAAGAUAAGAUGCUUAGUUAAGGCUUACUAUAAAAUCGGUGUAAGUGAAAAUAUUAACAGAUUAGUUAAUGGUGCAGAUGCUUACUUAUGGCUAAUGGCUCCAUAAUAUCAUUAAUCGGAUGAGGUGGGCAAAAUGAAGCUGUAAUAUUUUGUAUUCAACUCCAAGACAUACUGCACUUUGAACUAGUCAUUAUUUGCGAUGGAAUAAUUUUCGUUUGAUUCCAAGUUUUAUUUAUGAAAUUAACUGAUCGCGCUUUAAAGCAGUGAAAUAUAACUAUAUUCUUUUCGUUUCUGAUAGUGUUGUUCUCGACCUCUUUGUCGUUUUAUAUGCUGCUUUUCUAAGAAAAGUACAAAUGUAUUUAAUAAUCAUUAACACAUCACCGCAGUAAACAUUCGUUCAAAAAAUAUUCGCAGAUCAGUGUGAAGAAACGAUAUUUGGUAAUAUUAAUACAAGAUAAGGACUUCGAAUCCUAAUGAAUCGGUAAAAAUUGAGAUAUAUCCAAAAAUAUUGUACAUAAAUCGACAAUUUUUGUUAUUGUUAUGUUCUUUACAUUAUGUAACGUGAGAGGCUGUUUUCCGAUAUGACGUCGUUGUUUUAGAAAAUACCAGUUUGGCGGCUGGCAUACGUACAUGCACCUUAGGGUUAGUUUUUCUUUAAAGAAACAUGAACUCAAGUACAUACGACGCAAGGCGAAAUCUAAUGUGUAUAAACCUUUCUACCCCUUGUAUUCAAAAAAUAAAUUCAAAUAUAUGUUAAUGUUGACUUUUAAAAACUACUUGUAAGGAAAGCAGUGCGAGAAAUGCAUUCAUUUUACAAUAAGUUGCAAACAACAAUAACUAUAAAUUAUUCCGAAUGUUUUUUCGAUCACGUCAAAGGGUUAUGAUUAGAGGGACGACAAUAAAAGCAUUUGCUGCAUAUGCUAUUAGUUAUAUCAAAGCCAGAACAAAUCAGCCUUGGUCAAUGUCCAAGAAAUUGAGUCAGUUCUUGGCAAGACGCACAAGCGUACAUAGGCAAUAAGUUAAGAUCAUCAUGGCCCGUGUGGAUUUUCAACAAAUGAUAAUGAUGAUGUUUGAGGGCAAAAAAGUAAAUAAUUAUGUGGUAUCUGAAUGAGAUAGAAUAGCCUUACAUGUAUAAUUUGCCGGUCACAAGGUGUAAGAACAAAGACAGGUCAUGGCGGACGUUUUAAAUUUUUAUCCAACAGGAGGAGAUGACGAAUUCCUUCAGGAUUUAAUCACUGUCAGAUGGAGAAAAUAAUGUUCCAUUGACAAAGUAACUGAUUUUGAACAAGCAAAUGCUUCUGAAUUACGAAAAUGUACGCUUUCAGAAUUUCUUUCUGGCUAAGCUGUGCUUUGAUUUUGUAGUCCAACAUUUAGUUGGCCACGGCUUUUUGUUAUAUACGACGGCCGCCUUCGUGAAAUAUCAUGUAAUAUCAGAUCGGUCUUGCAGUCGAACUAUUGUGAAUCAGUCAUUUUGUAGAAAUUGAGUUAUGUUGCGGGAAAGCACCAUUUGUGCUUCAGCUGGUUAUUUAUGAGCAUUGAUAUAAAUAACAGGACAAUUUUUCUGGACAAAAAAAAACUUAAAUGUUGCUUAUUCUACUUAUAUAAUUGUGGCAAACAUAGACAUUCUGUAUGCCGCCCCUUAAAAUGUAUAAGGCAGAUAUAUGGCAAAUUUCAGUGUGUAUAAUCGCUUUGCCCUUUUGCAGACAAAACAUUUAGACUAGAAAACUAGAAAAGAUUCCUGAUAUCUGUUAACUGGCAAAUAACGAGCACAGAAAAUGAGCCAUACUGUGCUUAAACCGACCUUUCUACAGCCAUUCUAAAUUUGCUUGGUUACAUAAAGAAAUUGUGCAAUAUUAAUGAUGUUCUAAUUUUUUACCAUAAGAGAACCUACCAUUCUAGUAAGCGGAGUUUAAUUCUCAAUAUUUGAAAACUGCCAUAUUAAUUCAUUUUAAUGUCAAAAAAGACACCUAAGAGAAACAACAGAUGAAAAGCACUGCAAGGAGCAGAGUGAACUAUAAGUUAAAAUAUCGUUCGCUGUUAUUUAUUAUGUAAAUGAAUCAGAAAAAAAUCCUAAAACUUUGUUAAUGACAGACAAUAAAAAAGAAAUGAAAAAAACAAAAACAAAAAAACAAACAAAAAAACAACAACAUUUUUUUGGCCAUUUAAUGAAUGUUAUAAGAAAUAUAUAUAGAUAUAUUACAUUUAUAAGAAUCAUUUUACUAUCAGCUCUCUGCAAUUUCUUGCUGUGCGCAUCCCAUUAUGAUAGUUAAAACUAAAUAUCAAUCUUAUA
This is a long non-coding RNA of Ruditapes philippinarum (Manila clam), 6123 nucleotides long. RefSeq lists it as uncharacterized. The transcript is spliced from 2 exons. Lineage: Eukaryota; Metazoa; Mollusca; Bivalvia; Venerida; Veneridae. The record is from RefSeq and is a predicted model, not a curated record.